UACGAAGGGGGCUAGCGUUGUUCGGAAUUACUGGGCGUAAAGCGCACGUAGGCGGAUUCUUAAGUCAGGGGUGAAAUCCCGAGGCUCAACCUCGGAACUGCCUUUGAUACUGAGGAUCUUGAGUCCGGGAGAGGUGAGUGGAACUGCGAGUGUAGAGGUGAAAUUCGUAGAUAUUCGCAAGAACACCAGUGGCGAAGGCGGCUCACUGGCCCGGUACUGACGCUGAGGUGCGAAAGCGUGGGGAGCAAACAGG
RNAcentral lists this ribosomal RNA (253 nucleotides) under uncultured bacterium. RNAcentral's name for it is "partial 16S ribosomal RNA". It matches the Rfam family "Bacterial small subunit ribosomal RNA", at positions 524 to 776 of the family's 1533-position model. The record is from RNAcentral.